Molecule: ribosomal RNA, 484 nt
Filed under: Pontastacus leptodactylus (narrow-clawed crayfish)
Lineage: Eukaryota; Metazoa; Arthropoda; Malacostraca; Decapoda; Astacidae
Description: Astacus leptodactylus (narrow-clawed crayfish) partial large subunit ribosomal RNA
Rfam family: Bacterial large subunit ribosomal RNA
Source: RNAcentral
ACCUGCCCAUUGGAAUCUAAAAGGCCGCGGUAUUAUGACCGUGCUAAGGUAGCAUAAUCAUUAGUCUUUUAAUUGGAGGCUGGUAUGAAUGGUUGGACAAGAAAUAAGCUGUCUUAAAUAAAAAUAUUGAAUUUAACUUUUAAGUGAAAAGGCUUAAAUUUUCUAAGGGGACGAUAAGACCCUAUAAAACUUUAUAUUUUAAAAUAAUAAUUAAUUUUUAUAUAGAAGAUUUAUUUUUAAAUAUUUUAUUGGGGGGAUAAAGAUAAAAUGUGAGAUAACUGUCUUUUUUUUUUUUACAAUUAAUAUUUGAGUAAAAGAUCUUAACAAAGGAAAUAAGAGAUUAAGUUACUUUAGGGAUAACAGCGUAAUUUUCUUUAAGAGUUCUUAUCGACAAGAAAGUUUGCGACCUCGAUGUUGAAUUAAAAGUUCUUUAUAGAGUAGAUAUUAUAAUAGAGGGUCUGUUCGACCCUUAAAAUUUUACGUG